This 425-nucleotide ribosomal RNA is filed under the name uncultured bacterium. RNAcentral's name for it is "partial 16S ribosomal RNA". It matches the Rfam family "Bacterial small subunit ribosomal RNA", at positions 354 to 796 of the family's 1533-position model. The record is from RNAcentral.
GUGGGGAAUCUUGCGCAAUGGGCGAAAGCCUGACGCAGCCAUGCCGCGUGAAUGAUGAAGGUCUUAGGAUUGUAAAAUUCUUUCACCGGGGACGAUAAUGACGGUACCCGGAGAAGAAGCCCCGGCUAACUUCGUGUCAGCAGCCGCGGUAAUACGAAGGGGGCUAGCGUUGCUCGGAAUUACUGGGCGUAAAGGGCGCGUAGGCGGACAGUUUAGUCAGAGGUGAAAGCCCAGGGCUCAACCUUGGAAUUGCCUUUGAUACUGGCUGUCUUGAGUUUGGGAGAGGUGAGUGGAACUCCGAGUGUAGAGGUGAAAUUCGUAGAUAUUCGGAAGAACACCAGUGGCGAAGGCGACUCACUGGCCCAAUACUGACGCUGAGGCGCGAAAGCGUGGGGAGCAAACAGGAUUAGAAACCCGAGUAGUCC